AUUGAACGCUGGCGGCAGGCCUAACACAUGCAAGUCGAACGGGACCUUCGGGUCUAGUGGCGGACGGGUGAGUAACGCGUGGGAACGUGCCCUUUGGUUCGGAAUAGCCUCGGGAAACUGGGAGUAAUACCGGAUACGGUCGAGAGACGAAAGAUUUAUCGCCGAAGGAUUGGCCCGCGUUGGAUUAGGUAGUUGGUGGGGUAAAGGCCUACCAAGCCGACGAUCCAUAGCUGGUUUGAGAGGAUGAUCAGCCACACUGGGACUGAGACACGGCCCAGACUCCUACGGGAGGCAGCAGUGGGGAAUCUUAGACAAUGGGGGAAACCCUGAUCUAGCCAUGCCGCGUGAUCGAUGAAGGCCUUAGGGUGUAAAGAUCUUUCACCGGUGAAGAUAAUGACGGUAACCGGAGAAGAAGCCCCGGCUAACUUCGUGCCAGCAGCCGCGGUAAAGUGACUACUG
This 459-nucleotide ribosomal RNA is filed under the name uncultured bacterium. RNAcentral describes it as "bacterial SSU rRNA". It matches the Rfam family "Bacterial small subunit ribosomal RNA", at positions 30 to 532 of the family's 1533-position model. The record is from RNAcentral.